ACAGAGACCGAGAGAAGGAAAUUGAUUAAGAGAGAGGCAGAAAUGGUAUGGCUUGAGAGAAGAGAUGAGUCCGAGAGGUGGAAAAACUGGGAGAAUCGGUUCUGCCAUUUACCCACAACCCAGCUGACCCGAAGCCGGCAACCCAUAAACUGGAGACCCGAGUCCAUAACCGCGACCCAUGCUCCAGCAGGAUUGUUGCUCGGACAGUCUCGAUCCCGGCCCAACCCGAAGCCCAAAACCGUAGCAGGCCGAGCAAAACCCGACGAAGCCGUGACCCGACUCUUCUGGGUUGACACCCACGACUUAUGGUACGAUUUCCGGCGGAUCCAAACAGAGAUGAACCCGGUGGCCGGUGAGACGAUUCCGGCAGCAACCGUGACCCAGCCGAUUGUAGCAGACCGGAAACUGUGGACAUUCGGCCAGAACCAAAGCAGCCCAUACAACCGAUCCAGAACCGUGGACUCCAACCCAGUCCAUCCCUGCAACCCAUCCAGCACGUGAUCCAUCAACGAACCAAGGAACCCGAUCCUAACCGCAUCCUCCAAACAAUGAGCAGAAUCCGGCAAUUUUGUUGAGAACUUCCAUCACUGUGAUGGAUUUUCUGAGAAGACUUCGGCUGAGUGAAGGUGAGUAUGUAUGAGAUUUUGUGUCGGGCUGUGUCUCCUACUUGUAGGUUUGACUGAAAUUAUGUGAGUGUUGUGAUUUGGGCUUAAGCAAUGAUGUAUGAGUAUUCUGGACCCAAAUCUCCAACCCAUUAGGCCCAGUUGUGGUCCAGCCCCAUAGCCCAGCAAUGAGCCCAGCAGAAACCCAAGCCCAUAAAGCCCAGACCCGAAACCCAACAGUGACCGAAACCCGGAUCCAGCCCGUGACCCAGUCGGCCCAUACCCGAGUCCAACUGACCCGGAUCCAAACCCAUGAUCCGGAACCCGGAACCCGACCCGCCGGUGACCCAGAUCCGGCAGAACUUCCGGCGACUCUCCGGCGACUUUUCCGGCGACUCUCCGGCGACUUUUCCGGCGACUUCCAAAACUCACCAUUUUCACUGGAUUUUCUAGUGAAAAUCCUCAAUAUGAUGAAUUGAGACAGCACAAAAAGGACUAUGUUUGCGCAGGUACUGAAGAUUAUGGAAUGGAUUAACUGCUAGCUUAAGAGAUUUAUAGCUGUGUAGUUAGGAUUUUAGUACUUUGUACUCAUAGAUGUUUGUACUAUUUGCUUGUAAUAUGUCUAGACAUUUACUUGUAAUUAAUAAGUUCCAUGCAGGCUUUAGUGUCAUAUGUGACACAUGUUUCAUUGUAAAUAGUGUAAAGAUUUUUAAUGUAUUUUCUAGAAGAUAUCAGUUAAAGCUCUGAAUAUAUCGUAAGGGAGUUGUCCCUAUCGGUGAUGUUUAAAAAAAAAAGAUAUUCGUAUUUUUCCGCUGCUAGAUUUUAUCAACU
Molecule: long non-coding RNA, 1433 nt
Organism: Alnus glutinosa
Lineage: Eukaryota; Viridiplantae; Streptophyta; Magnoliopsida; Fagales; Betulaceae
Exons: 3
Source: RefSeq, a predicted model, not a curated record